RNAcentral lists this ribosomal RNA (483 nucleotides) under Ixodes hexagonus (hedgehog tick). RNAcentral's name for it is "partial 16S ribosomal RNA". Lineage: Eukaryota; Metazoa; Arthropoda; Arachnida; Ixodida; Ixodidae. The record is from RNAcentral.
CAUGUAGGAAUUUAAAAGUUGAACAAACUUCUUUUUUUAACUUCUUCACUAAAAAAGGAUCCUAAUCCAACAUCGAGGUCGCAAACUAUUUUAUCUAUAUGAACUAUCCAAAAUUAUUACGCUGUUAUCCCUAGAGUAUUUUUCUCAUUUAAUCGUUAAUAACGGAACAAAUUAAUUUCUUUAAUACAAAAAGAUAUAUAUUCUUUUUUAAUCACCCCAACCAAAUUAGAUUUCAAAUAAUUCUCAUCACAAUCUAAUAAAAAUUCAUAGGGUCUUCUUGUCCCUAAUUUAAAUUUUUGCUUCUUCACAAAAAAAUUAAAUUCAAUUUAUUAAUUAAAGAAAGUUAUUAAUCGUUAAACCAUUCUCUUAGCACCCAUUUAAAGCCUUAUUUCAAUACCUUCGUAUAGUCAAAAUACCACAGCAAUUUAAAUAAUCAUUGAGCAGAUUUUACAUUUUAUUACCUCAAAAAUGAAAUGUUUUUGU